This is a long non-coding RNA of Sinocyclocheilus rhinocerous, 229 nucleotides long. RefSeq lists it as uncharacterized. The record is from RefSeq and is a predicted model, not a curated record. The transcript has 3 exons. NCBI's taxonomy places the organism in Eukaryota, Metazoa, Chordata, Actinopteri, Cypriniformes, Cyprinidae.
UUCUCGCGCUUUGUGAUGACGCACGGUGUACUGCGUGUGUUUGAAAAAUGGCAGCAGUUCAAGUAAGCGAAGCGGAGAAGGUUUAUAUUUUGCAUGGAGUUCGAGAUGACCUGAGAUUGGACGGGCGAGGAUGUGAAGACUACAGACACAUGGAGAUCGAGACGGAUGUGGUGUCAAACACUGAUGGUUCUGCUAAAAUCAGUCUUGGUCACACAGAUGUUCUUGUAGG